RNAcentral lists this transfer RNA (84 nucleotides) under Bradymonadales bacterium. RNAcentral's name for it is "tRNA-Leu". It matches the Rfam family "tRNA". Rfam says of the family: Transfer RNA (tRNA) molecules are approximately 80 nucleotides in length. Their secondary structure includes four short double-helical elements and three loops (D, anti-codon, and T loops). Further hydrogen bonds mediate the characteristic L-shaped molecular structure. tRNAs have two regions of fundamental functional importance: the anti-codon, which is responsible for specific mRNA codon recognition, and the 3' end, to which the tRNAs corresponding amino acid is attached (by aminoacyl-tRNA synthetases). tRNAs cope with the degeneracy of the genetic code in two manners: having more than one tRNA (with a specific anti-codon) for a particular amino acid; and 'wobble' base-pairing, i.e. permitting non-standard base-pairing at the 3rd anti-codon position. The record is from RNAcentral. Lineage: Bacteria; Deltaproteobacteria; Bradymonadales.
GCCGGGGUGGCGAAAUGGUAGACGCAGGAGACUUAAAAUCUUCUAUCCCCUGUGGAUGUGCGGGUUCAAGUCCCGCCUCCGGCA